GUGUCUUGCGGUUUGUGUGCCUUCGGGCCGAGGCUGCGAGUCCUUUGAAAUGUACUGAACUGUACUUCUCUUUGCUCGAAAAGCGUGGUGUUGCUGGUUGUGGAGGCUGCCUGCGUGGCCAGUCGGCGACCGGUUUGUCUGCUGCGGCGUUUAAUGGAGGAGUGUUCGAUUCGCGGUAUGGUUGGCUUCGGCUGAACAGGCGCUUAUUGUAUGCUUUUCCUGCUGUGGCGUGAUGGGCUGGUGAACCGUAGCUGUGUGUGGCUUGGCUUUUGAAUCGGCUUUGCUGUUGCGAAGUAGAGUGGCGGCUUCGGCUGUCGAGUGUCGAUCCAUUUUGGGAACU
RNAcentral lists this unclassified non-coding RNA (340 nucleotides) under Phytophthora citrophthora. Its description in RNAcentral is "partial ITS2". Lineage: Eukaryota; Oomycota; Peronosporomycetes; Peronosporales; Peronosporaceae. The record is from RNAcentral.